Molecule: long non-coding RNA, 501 nt
Filed under: Helianthus annuus (common sunflower)
Lineage: Eukaryota; Viridiplantae; Streptophyta; Magnoliopsida; Asterales; Asteraceae
Source: RNAcentral
GAGCAGGCCAUUGACUCGUUCAAGGGUCUCGUGAUACCUAGUCAUCAUGGUGGUUUGUGUGAGUCAUGACAAGGCUUUGGCCAUACCUCAUAAUUGGUCCGGUCGAAUUGAACUUGCACCGCUUGGGCAAAUUCUGCCCACGAGUGUGGUAACCCUUUCCAGGUGGAAGGAGGCUAGUUAUAUUUGUAAGGGGUGAUCAGUCCUAUUGAAAUCGAACCGCCUUGAUAAAUACAACUAGGUGGGUCGUAUUCGUUGAAUUUAGGGAAAGGUGUACCUAUCUACACACCAUUUUGCAUAUUUACACACCAAAAAAGGUGGUGACUAUCUACACACUUGGUGUGUAGAUAGUUUGGCCCUUAGCUUGAGAUGCUAAUGGAAUAGAAUGGAAUUGGUGUUCCGCGGGAAAGUGUUGUGGUGAGAGGACUCAUCGGAGUCGUUGGUGUUAUAAGGUUGGCUAAGGGAUCGAACAACUGACAACUCUUUCAAUACGAUAUUCAAUGU